GUGGCGAACGGCGGAGUAAGACAUGAGCAACGUGCCCCUAUGACUGGGAUAUACAGAGGAAACUCUGGGCAAUACCGGAUGUGGCCAACCUUUGGCAUCUUUGGUUGACUAAACGGAUUCAUUCGCAUAGGGAGCGGCUCAUGACCCAUCAGGUAGUUGGUAGGGUAAUGGCCUACCAAGCCGACGACGGGUAGCGGGUCUGAGAGGAUGAUCCGCCCGAGUGGGACUGAGACACGGCCCACACACCUACGGGUGGCAGCAGUUGGGAAUCUUGCACAAUGGGGGAAACCCUGAUGCAGCGACGCCGCGUGGAGGAUGACGGAUUUAGGUCUGUAAACUCCUUUUGCUAGGAAAGACUUAGGACGGUACCUAGCGAAUAAGCUCCGGCUAACUACGUGCCAGCAGCCGCGGUAAUACGUAGGGAGCAAGCGUUGUCCGGAUUUACUGGGCGUAAAGGGCGCGUAGGCGGCCUGUUAAGUGUGGUGUGAAAUCUCCAGGGCUCAACCCGGAAACUGCACCGCAUACUGGCAGACUAGAGGAAUGUAGAGGUAGAUGGAAUUCCCCGUGUAACGGUGACAUGUGUAGAUAUGGGGAGGAACACCAAUUGCGAAGGCAGUCUACUGGGCAUUUCCUGACGCUGAGGCGCGAAAGCGUGGGUAGCAAACAG
RNAcentral lists this ribosomal RNA (667 nucleotides) under uncultured bacterium. Its description in RNAcentral is "bacterial SSU rRNA". It matches the Rfam family "Bacterial small subunit ribosomal RNA", at positions 95 to 775 of the family's 1533-position model. The record is from RNAcentral.